GCAUAUCAAUAAGCGGAGGAAAAGAAACCAACAGGGAUUGCCUUAGUAACGGCGAGUGAAGCGGCAAAAGCUCAAAUUUGAAAUCUAGCACUUUCAGUGUUCGAGUUGUAAUUUGAAGAAGGUAACUUUGGAAUUGGCUCUUGUCUAUGUUCCUUGGAACAGGACGUCACAGAGGGUGAGAAUCCCGUGCGAUGAGAUGUCCAAUUCUAUGUAAAGUGCUUUCGAAGAGUCGAGUUGUUUGGGAAUGCAGCUCUAAGUGGGUGGUAAAUUCCAUCUAAAGCUAAAUAUUGGCGAGAGACCGAUAGCGAACAAGUACAGUGAUGGAAAGAUGAAAAGAACUUUGAAAAGAGAGUGAAAAAGUACGUGAAAUUGUUGAAAGGGAAGGGCUUGAGAUCAGACUUGGUAUUUUGUGUUCCUUAUCCUUCUUGGAUUAGGUUCCUCACAGCUUACCGGGCCAGCAUCGGUUUGGAUGGCAGGAUAAUGACAUUGGAAUGUAGCUUUGCUUCGGUGAAGUGUUAUAGACUUUGUUGAUACUGCCUAUCUAGACCGAGGACUGCGUCUUGAC
Molecule: ribosomal RNA, 565 nt
Filed under: Dujonia railenensis
Lineage: Eukaryota; Fungi; Ascomycota; Pichiomycetes; Serinales; Debaryomycetaceae
Description: [Candida] railenensis partial large subunit ribosomal RNA
Rfam family: Eukaryotic large subunit ribosomal RNA
Source: RNAcentral